GCGAUCAUAUCAGUACUAAUGCAUCGGAUCCCAUUAGAACUCUGAAGUUUAGCGUGCUUGGGCGAGAGCAGUACUAGGAUGGGUGACCCCUUGGGAAGUCCUAGUGUUGCACCU
RNAcentral lists this ribosomal RNA (114 nucleotides) under Zingiber officinale. The record is from RNAcentral. Lineage: Eukaryota; Viridiplantae; Streptophyta; Magnoliopsida; Zingiberales; Zingiberaceae.